GCUCUGAAAAGCCACGUGGGAAGAAGUAAGAGAAAAGUUUGGAGUGUUGUAAAUUCUGCUGCUGGUUACUCCUCGUCAGUGUCAGCUGGUCCCCCGAUGGGUCAUCCCUCAGCCAGGAGCAGAGAGCUGAGAGUAAAUAUGCAUGUGUGUGAAUGGCACUAGCACCUCUGCGAAUCGCCGUCCUUCACUGGAGCCAGCACAACGGAGUACAGGCACUUCCCUUCAUUCAGUCCCAGGAUAACAUGAGAAGAGGAUGAAGAAAGAGAUGUGCAUCCAUCUGUGAUCCGAACUUUCUGAAUAAAUUCAGUUUUUCCAGUGAAAGACAAAUGAACAAGCUCAUACUGCUCUGAAUAGCAACAAGGCGACUGCUUGCCAGCCUGUAAAAUCUGGUAUUGUCCCUCCUGGAGUCAGAGCUUGACCUUAAGAAAAUUCCUGCCAGUUUCUCCGA
Long non-coding RNA from Aquila chrysaetos chrysaetos, 448 nucleotides. RefSeq lists it as uncharacterized. The transcript has 3 exons. Lineage: Eukaryota; Metazoa; Chordata; Aves; Accipitriformes; Accipitridae. The record is from RefSeq and is a predicted model, not a curated record.